AAUCAACUUCCACAAUAAGGUGCGCUCGAGUCUUUUCCUUCGCAAUCGUGCUGUUAUGCGCAGUUUCCACUUCAGUGAGUCUUCAAAGACCAAUACCCAUGUACUUUCUCACUUCCACAGCAACCAACCAAAGCUGUUUCAAUAAAUCUUAGGGUUUUCGGUAGAGAAUUCUAGUUCAGAUUCCCAGUGUAACUCUGGUUCCAACCUAAUGGUGAGAGGAAAGAGAAGACCUCUAGCAGCUUUAGCCGCAGCUGAAGACUAUUCUCUCCAUGGUUCUGUUGAGUCUUUAGACUUUUAUGCUGCAGAAGACCUGCAUGAAGAUGGUAAUUGGGUAAUUGUUAAGAAACAGCGAAUUACUAUCUGGAUCCCUCCUCCUCCGUCUGUGCAUCCUACUACAACCCCAGGUCCUCCUCGGACAAACAACAGACAGCACAAGUCCAAGAAAAGAAUAAUUAAAAGACGGCAAAUACUUCCUAACAAGAGACAACAGCCACGAAAACGCCCACAUGAAGGAGAGCUUCAGAACUGUGAUACAGUACUGGAUUCGAGUAAAGGUAUUCAGGUCAGUGGAGGAAAACUGGACUCCCCACCCAAUUCCAUGAAAAAGUUUCCCAAGCAGGUUUCUAGAAGAACUACACCAAAAGGCCCAACUAGGCUUACUGGGGAUGAGUCAGUCUACCGCCCAGCAACAUCUAAAUCUCUUGUCCCUGAUAAUGAACAUGCAAGGCUGAGUGCUAUUGGAUUUUCUCCACAGAUUAGGGUAUCUAGAGUAUUUGAAGCUGAUAAGAAUAAGAAGAGGCUACCUACUAAUAAUAUUCUCCCCCCACCAACAAUGUUUCGUAGUCAAGGACCUUCUAGAGCUCAUGUCAGAUCGAUCAGUUGUCUGAAUAUGGGUAUGGGUGUACUACAACAGAAUCAAAAGAUGCGUGCGGCAAACCUGGAGAGGAAACUGGAAAAGGCUGGUGGGUUGAGCAGGUGGCUCAUGUCACUUGGGCUAGGACAGUUUGUGCAGAUGUUCCGAAUGCGAAACGUGGAUGAUAAAUUUCAACUGUUGAACCUAAACAUGGGAAAGCUCAAAGAAAUGGGUGCAAUUGCAGUUGGCCCGAGAAGAAAGUUGAUGCAUGCAAUUGACUGUUUGGCAUUUCAAGAUUGUACUCUUAGUAGAGGAAUGAUUUGAAAGGGUUGUCAAGAUCAGAUAAACUGUAAGGACUCUGCUGCUUUGUUGAUGGGCUUUGGUAACUCCAGAAGUGCUGCAUAUCCCCUAAUAUCUCCCCCACUCCCUUCCCCGUAACUCCAUUCAUCAGCAGUUGUUGAAGUAACCACAAGAUGUUGUUUCUUGCAAAUGAUUCAGUAUUCAUAUCUGUUCAUGUUAUUAAUCAACCAGGUUGUUUUUUUUAAAUGGAACCACCAAUUCCAGGAUUGAGUUUAUAUGCCGAAGAUGAUGAUGACGACAAUUCGAAUGAAUGGCAAGGUUCCUUCAACUCUUAGAAUUUUUAAUAUUAAUUCGUUGCUAUUAAUCUAAAGCAUUAAAAUUCAUCAACUUAUUUUUGGCAGUAAUCGUUGCUGUGAUUUUUGUUAUGAUCUUUGUGGAUGUGAGAGCUGCCUUUGGUGGAUCUUUGAUGCAUCGUGUCUUGAGGAAUGCUUACAAGGAGGUUUUAUCUUUAACAUGUUGCUGUUUCUAGAACUCAGGUCCUUGUAAUUAAAUUAAACACUACAAAUACAUGUAUAUGGGAUAAGAACUGGAUCUGUGCACGAUGCUCAUACUCAAUAUCAGGCUUUCUGACUAUCAUAUUUGUACAUAGAUCAUUCGCCUCUUAGAAAUCAGUGAGCCAGAUGCUCACCCAAUUUUAGUCAAACUACUUUGACUAACUCAAACUCAAAGUCUAUGCUGUUCGAUGAUGAAACUUCUGAUUUAGUCACUUAUUUGCCAGUUCGUAAUUCAUUGUAUUUAUAUAUUUAAAUGAUUUAAUCAAAUAACAAGUGGUUCUGAAAGAAUAAAAAAUCGGUUGACAUUUUCUUUUGUUAUCCAUUCUUUCGUUCAUGAGAGAGUUAUAUCAAUCCUUCUUUCAUUCUCUCGUGGUGUUUACUUGGUAGAAUCUGUAACUAUUUCAUUACACCCAUAUUAUCUCUUUUGAUUACAUAUGGAAUCACCAUCUGUAAUCCAAGGAAUGAGUAUUCUUGCUGAAGAAGUGGAAAAUCCAGCUACUGAGGCUUGUGAUUGCUGUAACAGGGAUUGUUAUAAUUCUAUUUGUGGUGGAUGUCACUCUUGCUGUGCUUGUCUUGAUGCAUGUUUACAAGGAGUUCUUUGUUGCUUAUCUUGUUUCGCAGUUUGUUCUUAGAAAUAUCGUUUUCUUGUAAAUAAAAAUGUUAAUAGAUUUGGAAGCGGGUCAUGUAAUCAGCUAUUGCAAGCACUAUCUUGUCUAAUUUUUAUUAGAGAUAUGUAAAUGUGUGAGUAAAGUGUGUGUCAAGUCAAUGAGUCAAUAUAGACUUGACUUAUGUCCUGUUGUCUUGUCCUAUGAGGACAAUUAAAUACCCUGUAAUAAUCUUUCAGAAA
Papaver somniferum (opium poppy) is the source of this 2554-nucleotide RNA transcript. RefSeq lists it as uncharacterized. The record is from RefSeq and is a predicted model, not a curated record. NCBI's taxonomy places the organism in Eukaryota, Viridiplantae, Streptophyta, Magnoliopsida, Ranunculales, Papaveraceae. The transcript has 5 exons.